This is a long non-coding RNA of Peromyscus leucopus (white-footed mouse), 2586 nucleotides long. RefSeq lists it as uncharacterized. The transcript has 6 exons. Lineage: Eukaryota; Metazoa; Chordata; Mammalia; Rodentia; Cricetidae. The record is from RefSeq and is a predicted model, not a curated record.
UGCCUGAGUGAGUGUGAGUGUGAGAGCGAGAACAGCCCGCAGGUCCCGAGGCGCUUGCAAGGGGACUCUGCCGCGGAAAGUUCCCAGUCCCCAGCCGCAGCUACUCUGGAAAACAAGAAGAGAAACCAACCCACACCCAACCGAAACCACAAAAAUACGUGAAAUCCUUACAGUAGAAAUGAUGUGCGUUUCUGAUUAGAGAUACUGAAUGAAGAGUAGUGCUGUCCCUGAAAUCACGUCUGGAUCAUCCCUCUCACCUGAUGCUGCCGAUCUUGGAGACUGAAGGAGGUUCGGAAAAGGGAACUGAAGUCUCACAAUUUGGAAGUCUCCCUUGAAAGAAGUGUUGAAGACAGGUUUACCUUAUGCUCACAUAGAGAAUCUCAUCUAGAGUAAGGAGUCUCUCAUCUCCAGGAUAAGAUCCAGGGUGAUGUCCAUCGCACUUUAUGUACACAUUGGAGUUUCCAUUAAGGGCUUGGUGAACCAGCUAUACAUUCAACCUUGUGGAUGUACUUCUAUAGCUACUUGAACCACAGGAUUACAGAGCCGACACAGGGAGUGUCAGCCUGAGCUCUCAAGACUGAAAUGACUUCUUUGUCAGAACCUACAGGAAGAAUUUCGAUGUACUCAGUUUCACCUUGAUCAAAAUACUUUCUUUUUGAAAAUUACAAGAAGAUGUGAGACAUCUGCCUUUACCUCAGGACUUGAUUCAGAAGUAGUCAUCGCUUUCUUUCCCCUCCCCCAUCUCUAUCUCUAUUUAUCUCUCCUCACUCUCUUACUCUAUGACUCCUACUCUCUGGAAAGACCUGGAGCUAAAAGAAAGAUAUGGAAAGUUGGUUUUUUGAAAAGAAAAGAGUUGUGCUAGGAACAGUAUCUGCUGAAGGCACCAAAAUUGUAAAGUAAAAGGCUCUCUUGAAUCCUUAUCUAAAUGACAGUAAAAUAAUACACAUUCCAUAUAUACUGGCUAUAUGGUGCCGAUCCUGAAAACCAGCCCAUGGGAACAAUAACUUUCCAAAUUCUAUGGUCUGGGAACAACUAAAAGUCACAGAAGAGGCUCAUAGAUGUGUUAUUGGUGCUGGUCACCCUAGUGAAGUGCUACCAGUUCAAUGUCUUUUACAAAAUGUAUGCUGUACUUUGAGUAAUUGAUGUUUUACAUAAAAAAAAAUAAAGUUCUUAAUAAUAAGCAGUUUACAUAUUCUGGACUUCAUUUUCAGUGAUUUUUUUUUUAAUCAACCUAUAAAAUCUGAGUAAUGAUGGAUUGUGGGUAAGGAAAUUGCUGGCACACCUUAAAGAGGUUUAGUUAAACCUGACAUUGGUUUAUGCAUAUCUGGCCAAGAACAUUGGACCUUCAGAAUGGGCAUGUGCAGUCAGCCACUGUUUGUUCUCAUUAAGAGGAGGAAAAAGAAAGAGGUUUGUAUUCAGUGCCUGGAGGAAGCCAUUCUGUUUCCUUUCCUAUUCUGAGUUUUACAAGUUAACAUGCUGAAGAAGAAAACUGAGAGGAAAAUGGAUCUUGCUGUGGUAAAGUUGAAAUAAGCUUAGAGCUCCGAAAAGGGACAUGCAAACUACCUUCUAAAUAUCUAUUCUUACACUAACAAACAGAAGCUGCUCCCAGACUUACUCAUAAAAGCUAUUGUUACAACGAAUGGCUUAAAUAAAAGAGCCUCAAAGGUGCUCAAGAUCCAAGGAAUAAUAGAUGAUUGGAGGCUCAGCUCUAAACAAAACAUUUUUACCCUCCCCACUGAGGCUUGAGGUUAUUGUUGAAGAGGAGAUGGGAAAUAUGUCUGAGCCAUGGCCUGUGAAAUGUCAUUGUCCAAACCCAAUGUAUCCAUUAACAACUUUAGUUACUUAAACUGGGUCUACACAACACCCGCCCCAUCAAAGAUUAGUCAAGGAAAGCAGAGAGGCUCAUGAGGUCCUACAUGUGCUUUACCUCUGAACUAUGGACUAAUGAUAGAGAAUAGGAAUCCUUGUCUUUAGUUCUAUAUACCCUGCUGAACCUCCCAGGUUCCAAUAAAUAGAUCAAAAUCAUGGGCACACAGAGAGCCCUGGUUAACCUCAAUGGGUCAAAAAACAAAAUGGCUGUACAUGAAGAGAGAGAAAGUUGUGUUGGACCGGGGCUGAGGGUAGGAUGAGACUGAUCAGUGUUCAUGAUAAAUAUCUGUGAAAUUAUCAUAGAAAUUAAUUAGUUUUUAAAAGAGACAUACUCCUAUAAAGAUAGGCAUGAGAUUUAACUACCAAAUUUAAGGCUCCAUGAAGUAGAGUUCAAAAAGGGAAAUAUCUUGGAAAAAAUCAAAAUAAAACAGUAACACAAAACACAGCAACCACAAACCUACAACUUUCUGCUCUGACUAGGUUCUGGUUAAUGCAAAAGCAUUUUAGAAGAGUUAGCACUCUGUUAAUAUGGCUUUUGUUGCUUUUAAAUUUAGUCUUGAAUAGCCAUACUGACUUUUCACAGUAUCUUUAUCUUUAAGGAAAACAUUUCUUAUAUUUGCCUUCUAUUCUACUUAUCAAUGUGAGUUACAUGUAUACACUGGGGAAAAUUCCCUCUUAAAAUUUAGUUUUAUGACUUGAGGAUUACCUACCUUAUAU